UAAGCGGAGGAAAAGAAACUAACAAGGAUUCCCCUAGUAACUGCGAGUGAAGCGGGAAAAGCUCAAAUUUAAAAUCUGGCGGUUUCACCGUCCGAGUUGUAAUUUAGAGAAGCGUCUUCCGCGCUGGACCGUGCACAAGUCUCCUGGAAUGGAGCGUCAUAGAGGGUGAGAAUCCCGUCUUUGGCAUGGAAUCCCAGGGCUUCUGUGAUGCGCUCUCGACGAGUCGAGUUGUUUGGGAAUGCAGCUCAAAAUGGGUGGUGAACUCCAUCUAAAGCUAAAUAUUGGCGAGAGACCGAUAGCGAACAAGUACCGUGAGGGAAAGAUGAAAAGCACUUUGGAAAGAGAGUGAAACAGUACGUGAAAUUGUUGAAAGGGAAACGCUUGAAGUCAGUCGCGUCGACCGAGACUCAGCCUUGCCUCGGCUUGGUGUACUUCUCGGCUUGACGGGUCAGCAUCGAUUUCAAUCCUCGGAUAAUGGCAAGGGAAAGGUAGCACCUUUUUAGGUGUGUUAUAGUCCUCUGUCGCAUGCGAGGGUCGGGAUCGAGGAACUCAGCACGCACCUCAGGGUGUCGGGGCCUUGGCCCACGUUUACGUGCUUAGGAUGCUGGCGUAAUGGCUUUAAACGACC
RNAcentral lists this ribosomal RNA (628 nucleotides) under uncultured Russulaceae. Its description in RNAcentral is "LSU rRNA". It matches the Rfam family "Eukaryotic large subunit ribosomal RNA", at positions 47 to 649 of the family's 3401-position model. The record is from RNAcentral. Lineage: Eukaryota; Fungi; Basidiomycota; Agaricomycetes; Russulales; Russulaceae.